ACAUCUCUUGGAGUUCUAGCUCACCUUUCUGGUGUUGUUCUUGUACUCAUCUGUUUAAUCUAGUUCUGCCACUUCUUCUUGAACUUCUUGUUAGAUUUCAAGUCUGUAUUUUGUGUCCGUGGCAAUAUAGCAUAAUAAAUCCAAGGAUUUUACUAGUGUAUCAUUAGCCAUUUAGAGUAUAAAAAAAAACUAUUUGAAGAUAUAAUAAGUCUAAAAAAAUUCAAAUAUGCUCAAUUACGACAUUAAUCCUAAAUCUCCUAUCUACUAAUACAUUUGGUAGUUCAUAUUUGCUUAUUUGUAGAUCAAUGAAUUUGGAAUUUGAAUCCAUUGUUGCAACAUUCAUUUCCACAAUAGUUGAUGAUGGGUUGUGAGUUCUAAUGAACUUAGUUUAUUACAAAUAUUUCAGUGGUUCUAGGCUUAGGCAAAAUAAUUAGAUCAAAGAUUUAAUAACUUUAGUAUUAUUCUUUCAACUUGAAAGACCUAAAUUCAUUUUGGCUCCAUUAUUAUAGUUGUUGGUUUUGGU
RNAcentral lists this long non-coding RNA (523 nucleotides) under Physcomitrium patens. RNAcentral's name for it is "long non-coding RNA (PPAT_LNC014633)". Lineage: Eukaryota; Viridiplantae; Streptophyta; Bryopsida; Funariales; Funariaceae. The record is from RNAcentral.